AUUGAACGCUGGCGGCAUGCCUUACACAUGCAAGUCGAACGGUAACGGGCCUUCGGGUGCCGACGAGUGGCGAACGGGUGAGUAAUACAUCGGAACGUGCCCGAGAGUGGGGGAUAACGAGGCGAAAGCUUUGCUAAUACCCGCAUACGAUCUCAGGAUGAAAGCAGGGGACCUUCGGGCCUUGCGCUCACGGAGCGGCCGAUGGCAGAUUAGGUAGUUGGUGGGAUAAGAGCUUACCAAGCCUGCGAUCUGUAGCUGGUCUGAGAGGAUGAUCAGCCACACUGGGACUGAGACACGGCCCAGACUCCUACGGGAGGCAGCAGUGGGGAAUUUUGGACAAUGGGGGCAACCCUGAUCCAGCCAUGCCGCGUGCAGGAUGAAGGCCUUCGGGUUGUAAACUGCUUUUGUACGGAACGAAAAAGCGCCUUCUAAUACAGGGCGUCCAUGACGGUACCGUAAGAAUAAGCACCGGCUAACUACGUGCCAGCAGCCGCGGUAAUACGUAGGGUGCGAGCGUUAAU
This 521-nucleotide ribosomal RNA is filed under the name uncultured bacterium. RNAcentral's name for it is "bacterial SSU rRNA". It matches the Rfam family "Bacterial small subunit ribosomal RNA", at positions 28 to 545 of the family's 1533-position model. The record is from RNAcentral.